GAUGAACGCUAGCGGCAGGCCUAAUACAUGCAAGCCGAACGGUAAUUCUGAUAGCAAUAUUGGAACUAGAGUGGCGUAAGGGUGCGUAACACGUAUGCAAUCUACCCGCAACAGGAGGAUAGCUCCCCGAAAGGGGAAUUAACCCUCCAUGAGAUCACACGAGGGCAUCCGAGAGUGAUUAAAUUUGAGGAGGUUGUGGAUGAGCAUGCGACUGAUUAGCUAGUUGGCAGUGUAAC
Molecule: ribosomal RNA, 236 nt
Filed under: uncultured bacterium
Lineage: Bacteria
Description: partial 16S ribosomal RNA
Rfam family: Bacterial small subunit ribosomal RNA
Source: RNAcentral